AUGGCUGCGGACGACGGCGACGCCACCACCGUCGUCGCGCCAAUGCCGUGCCCGGAGGAGGAGCGCGAGCAGCCUUCCCAUGCCGCGGACUCCCCCGUCGACCCAAUGACGGCGCCGCCGCCGCCGCCGCUGGAGGAGGAGGAGGAGGAGCAGCAGCAGCCGGGGGAGCGGACUACCACCGCCGCGGACGCGGUCGUCGCUCCAAUGCCGCCGCCGCCGCCGCUGUCACAGCCGGAGGAGAAGCAGGAGGAGCAGCCGGUGCCCGCCGCGGCGCUGCCCCAGCCGCUCGAAUCGGGUCCGGCUUCAACCGAGGAGGGACACAAGGAGACAUCAGAAGAUAAAAAUCUCUUCAAGGUUCCAGGUCCAGCCGAUGAGGGACACGAGGAGACAUCAAAGGACAAAAUUCCCUUCAAGGUUCCAGGUCUGGCCGAUGAUGGACACGAGGAGACAUCAAAGGACAAAAAUCCCUUAAAGGUUCCAGGUCUGGCAGAUGAGGAUGACUGGGAGACCUGUCAAGACCGGAAGCUCUUGCGGCUUCUGGGUCGAGCAGAUGAGAGAUACCACAAGGGGAUCGGGCAAGGCCGACGUCCUGAGGAUGAUGAUUUGGAGGAUUCUUGUGGUUGUUCCCACUAUAGGAGGUCGCGCUUUUGUUACCGUCAUGAACAAAGAGAUCCUAGAUAUUACGAUCAUGAACUUCAUUGUGGCGGAUUUCGUCGGAACUGUUAUCCGAAUUGGCAUCAUAGUGCACAUCUUGGAAAUGGUUAUCCCGAUUGGAAUGGUUACCCAGGUCAUCCACAUCGUGGCUACGGCUACCCAGUUGGACGAUUUGAUCAAGAUUGUAUGGAUCUGUACAAUCCGCGUCUGAUGGAUUCUUGGGAUGACAAGCUUGUAGAUACUCAAUGCUGUUCUUGGUACAAACUGACUCGUGGAAAGAAUGAUUUCCCUGUGGCUGCAUCGCUAAGUAAUCCUGAGAAGUGGAUAUGCUUCCUUAAUUGUAUUCUCCAGUGUGUAGUUCACACAGUUCCUCUGGUGUCGAAGCUUCUGAAAGAUCGUCACCUAGGUCCAUGUCCUACUGGUUCUGACGAAUUCUGCUGUUACUGCUCCCUACGACACCAUGCUUCUGAAGUUAUCAGGCUCUCAGGAGAUGUUCUCUACCCCAGAAAGUUUGUCAAACGCCUCAAGUCAAUAUUUCGAGAUUUCGAGCAGGGACAACACCAAGAUGCACAUGAAUUCCUCCGCUGCUUGCUUGAUAAAUUAGAUGAGGUAACAGUCGCUCCCAGGUCUGAAUCUGAGGAACCAUCUUCUAUUGUCAAAGAAUUUUUUGGGGGGCAACUGAAAAGCCAGUUGAAUUGUCCAAAGUGCAAUCAUUGCUCGGACAGAUUGGAGUCUUUCCUUGACCUUAACCUGGAGGUUAACCAAAUGGACACUAUCAUGGAUUCACUAUCAUCUUAUACCAAAAUUGAGGUUGUGGAAGAUUUCAUUUGUGAUGGAUGCAAAUCUCGUGUGAACAUGGAAAAGCACCUCAAGGUGGAGCAGGCUCCAGAAGUUCUUGUAAUCCAGCUCAAGCGGUUUCAAAAUUUGGGGAGUGAUAUAUCUAAGAUUCAUGACAUGGUGAAGUAUCAGUUAGAGCUGGAUUUAAACCCCUUCAUGAGCUCCCCUGAUGACAAACCUCAAUGCUAUGAUUUGUAUGGAGUUGUAGAACACUGGGGUAACACAGCCAAGGGUCACUACGUUUGUUAUAUCCGCUCAUCAGAAACUGAUUGGUUUCUCUUUGACGAUGAUAAGAUUGUGAAAAUGACUGAGGACAGACUUUUGGAGAAAAAAGCAUAUGUUCUGUUCUAUGUCAAGAAAGGUUCUUCCCCGUGGUUCUCUACGUUACUUGAGAAGAAGGAAAUGUUGCUGUCGGAUUAUUUUGAAGAAUUGGCGGGCAAAGGAUUAGAUGAGGAUGGUGCUCCCAAAGCGGGAAGCUACAGUAGCAGUGGUAGUGACAGUGACAAUGACAGUGUUGAACAAGAUGUCACGGAGCAUUUUUUUGGUGGACCAGCAGAGAAAAAUGAAGCUGGCCCCAGUUCGGCGGGCUUGUCACAAGGAGUCCAAGGAAUUGAAAACGGCAGUACCCUUUGCAGUGUACCUGACAAAAACGAAGUGGGUUGCAGCCUAGGUGUAGUACCAUCUGGAGGAACACAGAAACCCACCUCCCUUACCCUAUCAAGUGUGGAAAAUGGAGACGCUAGUGGGUUGCCGUUGCUAUUGGAGAACAAAGAGAAGUCCAGCCAUGGCACCAGGGAAGCGAACCAUAAUGGGCCAUCAUCAGAGGUGCUUGAUGCAGACUCCCAUAUAGGGUCAUCACAAGAGAAUGGGAGAAGCUGCAACCUACUCCAGUCUUCAUCACAUAAACAUGAAGACUACUGUCCUGAAAACUUGACAUUGCACGAAGAAGAAGAAGAUGGGAUGGCAGGCUCUUGUGAUUCUCCUGCUGGAUCGCUGCACGCACGUGGGAGUGCUGGCACUUCAAGGCUCGGAACAGUAGGCUCCAACUCCGACCGCACUACUAAUGGCGAGUGCAAUACUAAGUUCAUUUAG
This 2583-nucleotide ribosomal RNA is filed under the name Triticum aestivum (bread wheat). Its description in RNAcentral is "partial small subunit ribosomal RNA". Lineage: Eukaryota; Viridiplantae; Streptophyta; Magnoliopsida; Poales; Poaceae. The record is from RNAcentral.